Molecule: ribosomal RNA, 311 nt
Filed under: uncultured prokaryote
Description: bacterial SSU rRNA
Rfam family: Bacterial small subunit ribosomal RNA
Source: RNAcentral
UGAGGAAUCUUGCGCAAUGGGGGAAACCCUGACGCAGCAACGCCGCGUGAGUGAGGAAGGUUUUCGAAUCGUAAAGCUCUGUCAGGUGGAAAGAAAUGUAUGGUUGUUAAUAGCCUCCAUACUUGACGGUACCACCAGAGGAAGCACCGGCUAACUCCGUGCCAGCAGCCGCGGUAAUACGGGGGGUGCAAGCGUUGUUCGGAAGCAUUGGGCGUAAAGAGCGUGUAGGCGGCUUGAUAAGUCAGAUGGGAAAGCCCUGGGCUUAACCCAGGAAGUGCAUUUGUUACUGUCUGGCUAGAGUAAGGUAGAGG